Molecule: long non-coding RNA, 239 nt
Organism: Melitaea cinxia (Glanville fritillary)
Lineage: Eukaryota; Metazoa; Arthropoda; Insecta; Lepidoptera; Nymphalidae
Exons: 2
Source: RefSeq, a predicted model, not a curated record
UUUACUUUUCGCGGCAUUAAAGUGUUUGGCUAAUAACGAGAUAAACGAGAUUUAAAGUGUGUAUUGUUUUUAAAAUGUACUCAUUUAUGACUGUGCCUCAACUAAAAGCCGAGCUUCGUAAAAGAAAUGCAACAACUGCCGGUAAAAAAGCUGAUUUGAUUGAAAGAUUACGAACGUAUGAUCAAAACCAAAAUUUUUGUGCUGACUGCGACAUCCAAGAGGACCCUGCAUACGUAUGU